Macaca mulatta (Rhesus monkey) is the source of this 223-nucleotide non-coding RNA. The record is from RefSeq and is a predicted model, not a curated record. Lineage: Eukaryota; Metazoa; Chordata; Mammalia; Primates; Cercopithecidae.
UGGGUACUACCUGGGAACUUGGAGAGAUGGGAACAUUGUCUGCGUGCGGUCUAAUAAUCUGAAAAACAUCCCUGAGAAACACAGUCAAGUGGCACAGUACUAUGAAGUAUUCCUUCGACAGUCUCCAUUGGAGCCCUGCCUUGUAUUUCAUGAAGGUGGAUACUGGCGUGAGCUCAUAGUCCGCACCAAUAGCCAAGGGCACACAAUGGCUAUCAUCACUUUC